CCAUACACUACCAGAGCAAGAAGUUAAAGAAUGCUGAAGUGCUUUAGAAAACACAAUAUUUUUGUAAAAAAAAACAUAGUGGUUAUUUUUAUCUCCAACUUUGGAGCAAUCAACAUUAGGGGUCCAUGGGAGAAGUUCUGAGUUUUGAAAUCAAGGACAACAAGUUUCAGUGAUUGUCCUUUCACCUUGUUAAUGCUUAACUAGGUUGAACAGGAAACUAAAGUUGUUUAAAUUGAAAAGGUAGAUCAGAUGGUUAAUAAGUAUUUAAGAGGUAAGGACAUUUUCUUUACAGCAUUGCCAGUCAUUGUAGCCUCAAAUAUAUGUGAUCAUAACUUUUCAACUAAUAAUCUUGUGUCUUUGCAUAAUGUUUCUGUAUCGUAAUUUCUGAGCAGCUUUAUUGGUAUUUCUUCUUUUAGUUCAAUAUUACUUGUGGCAUUUAUUGACAGAGAGUUUAAAAGUUAAACAGGAAGAAGUACAGCCUUAUUAAUAAUUGUUGCACUGUCAAUAGAUUUAUAUUAUACAAGCUGCCUUGAAAUUUAAAGAGAGUUUAAAAGUUUAAAAGUCAAAUGUGCAAUAUUCCUCUGAGUGAAAAAAACUGAAGCAAUGCUUGAUGAUGCCAUGUCCAGAUUUGGUUUCAAACCUUAGCCAUCUUUAGAUUAAGAAAGAAAGAUAUUCCCAUUCUGCCUGAAGCUGCUACAACACUCUGAAAAGCCUCUGUAAUAAUAUCUUUACAAUCGCACUGAACUGGGUUCUUUCUCUUGGAUAUAUUUGUAAGACGGCUUUAAAUUGCAGCUCUUCUCCCACAGAAGCUUGGUGAACAAAUUUUCAGUUUCCCUUUAUGAUUCAGCCAGGCUUGGGACUGUCCACAGUGCAGUUAAUGGAGAGAACACCCAUGGGACGUUUUACUUGUGGCUGUGAUGUGGGAUUAUUCAGAAUGAAUUCUGGAAGAUUACAUCCCAUGGAAUUUAGUGAAAGCCAGUCAGUUGGAUUCACAAUUGGCCCAAAGAUAAUUGAAAAUUGUAAGUAAGCACUGUCUGAGAAAAUGGACAACAUCGGCCUUUGUGUAGUCAUCUGCUACCUCAGUCUCAAGGGCUUAUCACCCAAGGAGAUCCAUGAGGACAUGGUGGCAACACUAGGGGAGGGUGAAAAAUAAAUCUGCUAGGUUUUCUAAAAUUUGACUCCUUCUACCUUUGGCCACAAACUUAUCAAUCACCCCUCAUAUAAGCAGAUAUAUGAUUUGAGAAUGACCACUUGUUUCAUGAUGAAGAACACAAGUAAUCUGACCUUCCAAACCAUCUCCAAAAAUACAUUAAAAGAUUAAGGUCUUCAGAAUAACAUAUGCAAAAUAUUCCACAAAACACUGACAGUGCUUUCCCGGAAUCUUAAGUAAUUCCUGUAAUAGUCUCCUCUACACGGUGAUCUCUUACAAUUUUAACUGGGUUGGAUGAGUUCCAGAAGGCUUACUGAUUCUAAAAUUAACUGCAAUAUGAAUAAUACUGAUUCCUGUCUACCAUCCUCCUUUCUUGGGACCUAGGAGGCUUGUUAAUUGUCAUUAAUGUUAACCAUAUUCUUGAGAACCAAGUCUUGAAAUAGUCUUUAUUCCAAAAAAAUACUAAAGACCCAAUGUUGAAUUCACAACUGGGUCUGUGUAUGAAACCACAAAAAAAUCUGUAAAAUUCUAUCUUGCUUUAAAACCUUAGUGUUUAAAAUAUACUUUCUGAAGUAUAGUUUUUGGAACCAGCCUCCUGAAUUAUGCAGCACUGAUGUUCCACUGGGUGGAAACCCAUACCUCCUCUUUGAGACCCGCUAUCACUUAGGGUCCAGCAAUUGCAAAAAGAUUCACAGUGAAUCCUGCAUCAUUUAAUGGAGAGAUUCCCCAUUGGACUGAUCCAUCUCUCAAUGGCAUGGCAGUAGAUCUGUCUGCCCCAUCUACUGGCAUGAAGAGAUGGUUAAUAGGGGCAGGUAUGGCAGUACAUGAGUUAAAGAAUCUUGCCUCAUAGCUUUGUUAUUUUUGUGUUUCCCUCUGGUGCUUUUAUGACAAUACUUUUGUGUCAUUGGUGGAUUUGCUUUCUAACCCUUCUGAGUUGUUUUUGAAAACUGUGAACAGUUUUAUCUCCAAAACAGUGUCACGACGGUGCAGAUGUGGCCCAAGUGUGGAGUGAGAGACACUGACGUGGGUUGAUAGUUCACAGACUUUAAUGUGAACAGUGUUAAAGGGAAAAGAAAACAAUACACACUAGGCCAAACGGGGCCAUUAACUAAAACUCUCAAAUGGAAAAUGAAGCUUAUACUGCAGCUGAAAAGAACAACUAAAUAUAAAACAAAUACCACUCGUCUCCAGGGUCAGUUGACUCGACAGUCCAAUUUCCCAGGCAAGGUCGAAUGCAAACAGACAGCGAAGUGUUGCUGUGUUCUGUGUCCAAGUCUCGACAAAACUACAAUGGAAUGAAUGGAGUUAAAUUCUAUCACAAUGAAGGAAUAACUAGCUGACAGGUGCACAUUCGUAAGCACAAUUGAUAUAUCUUCUGCGCUGCCAAAUCCAUGGCUGUAACAAACAGAUAUUUGGGAGACCUGUCAAUUUGGGUAUCUAUUGUCUAGGACGUAGGACUUUUAAAAGAUCCUUAAUAAGAUGCCUCCCAAAAGAUUACUAAACAAAAUUAGAGUCAUUGUACUGGGGAUGAUAUACUGGUAUGGAUUAAAGAUUGGUCAAAAAUAGAGAAAAAAUAUAUUGUAUUCAGGUAUUCAGGCUGACCAGCAGAGUGCUGAAUGAAUUGGUGCUGGGACCUGAGCUAUUCAUGAUCAACAUCAAUGGCUGAACAAGUUGAACAUCAGUCAGAGCAACAUGUCUCUGCUUGGCUGAUUAUGGUCUCUGAAGCAGAACUGACGAGGCUCUGGUAGAUAAAAACAUUCUAAGUGAAUAGGGAAGUGUGUAGUAAACUGGAAAUUCUGCAGAUGCUGGAAAUCUAAAGCAACACACACAAAAUGCUGGAGGAACUCAGCAUGUCAGGCAGCAUAGAAAUAAAUAAACAGUUGAUGUUUCAGACGGAGAACCUGCUUCAGGACUGGAAAGGAAAGGGGAAGAUGCCAAAAUAAAAUGGUAAGGGGAGGGGAAGGAGGAUAGAUAGAAGGUGAUAGGUGAAGCUAGGUGAGUAGUGAAGAUAAAGGGCUGAAGAGAAAGGAAUCUGAUAGUAGGGGAGGAGGAGGGGACACAGGGAGGUGAUAGGUGUGAAGAGGCAAGAGGCCAGUGUGGGGAAUAGAAGAAAGUGGAGAGGGAGGGAAUUUUUUUUACUGGAAGGAGAAAUCAAUGUUUUUGCCAUCAAGUUUGAGAUGGAAUAUAAGAUGUUUCUCCUCCACCCCGAGGGUUGCUGCUUCUUGUCACAAGAGGUGGCCAUAGAUCAUCAUGUCGUAACAGGAAUAGGAAUUAAAAUGUUUGGUCACUGGGAAGUUCUGCUUCUGGUGGUUGGAGCAGAGGGGCUCAAUGAACUAGAAACCCAAUUUAGAAUGGCUGUCACCAAAGUAGAGGAGCCCUGGACACAAUGGAUGACCCCAGUAGCCACACAGGUGAAGUGUUGUUGGAACAUAAUGAGAAGAAUGUGAGGUCUGUGACUUCAAUAGAAAAAAAUGGAGUAAUUUUUAAAAAGUGGUAAAAUUCAGAGGGGCCUGGAUGUCCUGCAAGAUUCACUUAAAGUUAAUAUACAGAUUCAAAGGAGAUUUAUGGAGAAUAAAAUAGUAUGAUAAGCUUUAUUGCAAGCAGAUGAGUAGCAGAGCAACAUCAUCUUUAUAGGACCCUGAUACCCUGAUAC
This is a long non-coding RNA of Hypanus sabinus (Atlantic stingray), 3803 nucleotides long. RefSeq lists it as uncharacterized. Lineage: Eukaryota; Metazoa; Chordata; Chondrichthyes; Myliobatiformes; Dasyatidae. The record is from RefSeq and is a predicted model, not a curated record. The transcript is spliced from 3 exons.